Podarcis lilfordi (Lilford's wall lizard) is the source of this 77-nucleotide non-coding RNA. The record is from the annotation of a GenBank genome assembly. Lineage: Eukaryota; Metazoa; Chordata; Lepidosauria; Squamata; Lacertidae.
GGAGAAAUGCCAUAGCUCAGUGGUGGAGCGUUGGCUUUGUGUGCUGAAGGUUACAGGUUCAAUCCCCACCAUCUCCA